UACGAAGGGGGCUAGCGUUGUUCGGAAUUACUGGGCGUAAAGCGCACGUAGGCGGAUACUUAAGUCAGGGGUGAAAUCCCGGGGCUCAACCUCGGAACUGCCUUUGAUACUGCAAAUCUCGAGUCCGGAAGAGGUGAGUGGAAUUCCUAGUGUAGAGGUGAAAUUCGUAGAUAUUAGGAAGAACACCAGUGGCGAAGGCGGCUCACUGGUCCGGUACUGACGCUGAGGUGCGAAAGCGUGGGGAGCAAACAGG
This 253-nucleotide ribosomal RNA is filed under the name uncultured bacterium. RNAcentral describes it as "partial 16S ribosomal RNA". It matches the Rfam family "Bacterial small subunit ribosomal RNA", at positions 524 to 776 of the family's 1533-position model. The record is from RNAcentral.